This 253-nucleotide ribosomal RNA is filed under the name uncultured bacterium. RNAcentral's name for it is "partial 16S ribosomal RNA". It matches the Rfam family "Bacterial small subunit ribosomal RNA", at positions 524 to 776 of the family's 1533-position model. The record is from RNAcentral.
UACGGGGGGGGCAAGCGUUGUUCGGAAUUACUGGGCGUAAAGGGCGCGUAGGCGGCCUUCUAAGUCGGACGUGAAAUCCCUCGGCUUAACCGAGGAACUGCGUCCGAUACUGAAAGGCUUGAAUCCGGGAGAGGGAUGUGGAAUUCCAGGUGUAGCGGUGAAAUGCGUAGAUAUCAACUGGAAUGCCGAUGGGGAAGCCGUCCGGCUGGGCCUGUCCUGACACUGAGGCACGAAAGCGUGGGGAGCAAACAGG